Non-coding RNA from Paramuricea clavata, 217 nucleotides. The record is from the annotation of a GenBank genome assembly. Lineage: Eukaryota; Metazoa; Cnidaria; Anthozoa; Malacalcyonacea; Plexauridae.
AUGCACUCAGAGUAACAUCGCAAACAUAUUAUUCACCUGAGUACACAACACCAACACAGAAAAAAAUUCAUAUUACUAGAACACAUUGGUAUUGAAGGAACUAGAUACUGUUCCGAAAUGUCACUUACUCGAACCGUCCUGACCGCGUAGCUCAGUUGGAAGAGCAUUGGGCUAGUAUUCCAAAGGUCGUAGGUUCGAAUCCCACCGUGGCCGGGCA